RNAcentral lists this ribosomal RNA (199 nucleotides) under uncultured bacterium. RNAcentral describes it as "partial 16S ribosomal RNA". It matches the Rfam family "Bacterial small subunit ribosomal RNA", at positions 328 to 539 of the family's 1533-position model. The record is from RNAcentral.
ACGCUCGACACCUACGGGUGGCAGCAGUCGGGAAUAUUGCGCAAUGGAGGAAACUCUGACGCAGUGACGCCGCGUGCAGGAAGAAGGUUUUCGGAUUGUAAACUGCUUUAGACAGGGAAGAAAAAGGACAGUACCUGUAGAAUAAGCUCCGGCUAACUACGNGCCAGCAGCCGCGGUAAUCUGAGCGGGCUGGCAAGGC